This is a long non-coding RNA of Cotesia glomerata, 510 nucleotides long. RefSeq lists it as uncharacterized. Lineage: Eukaryota; Metazoa; Arthropoda; Insecta; Hymenoptera; Braconidae. The record is from RefSeq and is a predicted model, not a curated record. The transcript is spliced from 4 exons.
CCUACCGACGCUCAUUCCGAUCUGUUUGUCUAAAAUCACCGGCCAAGAGAACAAUUACUCCUCCCAUAAUUCGGUCGCAACCUCUAAUGUCUUGGAGCAAUCUGUUUAGAGCUUCAAUACCAUUUUUGUGAGUCAUAGUGCACUCGUCCCAGAUAAUAAUUUUUGCUUCUCGCAGCACAUGAGCCAUAUCACUCUUUUUAGAGAUGUUACAAAGUGGAGACUCAGAAUAACCUAAAUUGAGAGGUAGUUUAAAGGCAGAGUGAGCUGUUUUACCUCCGUCUAUCAAAGUCGCAGCAAUUCCUGAAGAAGCAACGGCUAUAGCGAUGUUUUUUUCACUCCUGAUUUUCGCAAGCAGUAAAUUGAUUGAAAACGUUUUUCCAGUGCCACCUGGAGCAUCAAGAAAAUACAACUGCCCAGAAUCAGAUAUAAUUGAAUUUAAAAUUUCAUUGUAAACUUUUUUCUAUUCUAGAUUUAAUUUAGGAACAUUUUCUGCUACAACUUUAGUUAAAU